This 492-nucleotide ribosomal RNA is filed under the name uncultured bacterium. Its description in RNAcentral is "partial 16S ribosomal RNA". It matches the Rfam family "Bacterial small subunit ribosomal RNA", at positions 29 to 507 of the family's 1533-position model. The record is from RNAcentral.
AGUGAACGCUGGCGGUAGGCCUAACACAUGCAAGUCGAACGGCAGCACAGUAAGAGCUUGCUCUUACGGGUGGCGAGUGGCGGACGGGUGAGGAAUACAUCGGAAUCUACUUUUUCGUGGGGGAUAACGUAGGGAAACUUACGCUAAUACCGCAUACGACCUACGGGUGAAAGCAGGGGAUCUUCGGACCUUGCGCGAUUGAAUUAGCCGAUGUCGGAUUAGCUAGUUGGCGGGGUAAAGGCCCACCAAGGCGACGAUCCGUAGCUGGUCUGAGAGGAUGAACAGCCAAAAUGGAAAUGAGACAAGGUCCAGAAUCCUAAGGGAGGCAGCAGUGGGGAAUAUUGGACAAUGGGCGCAAGCCUGAUCCAGCCAUACCGCGUGGGUGAAGAAGGCCUUCGGGUUGUAAAGCCCUUUUGUUGGGAAAGAAAAGCAGCAGGUUAAUACCCCGCUGUUCUGACGGUACCCAAAGAAUAAGCACCGGCUAACUUCGUG